GGCCGCGUGGUCUAGUGGUAUGAUUCGUGCUUUGGGCUCCUUUAAACAGCGCCUAUGCACGAGGCCCCGGGUUCAAUCCCCGGCGCGGCCC
Molecule: non-coding RNA, 91 nt
Organism: Cladobotryum mycophilum
Lineage: Eukaryota; Fungi; Ascomycota; Sordariomycetes; Hypocreales; Hypocreaceae
Source: the annotation of a GenBank genome assembly